UUUUAAAUAAAUUCUGCUCAAUGAUAAACUUAAAUAGCUGCAGUAAAUUAACUGUACUAAGGUAGCAUAAUAAAUUGCUUUAUAAUUGAAAGCUUGAAUGAAGGAAACAAUGAAAAACAAACUUUUUAAUCUAAAAAAGUAAAAAUUAGUAUUUAAGUGAAAAAUCUUAAAUUAAAUCAAAAGACAAGAAGACCCUUUAGAACUUUACAAGCCUCACCAUCUUAACUGAAUUGUCUUGUUAAAUUGGGGAGAUUUUUAAAUAAAUAAAUCUUUAAAUAUAAUAAGAUGAUAUACUUCAAAUUAAAUUAUCCACGUAUGAACUAAAACAAGUUACCUAAGGGAUAACAGCGCAAAAUUUUUGAGAAGAUCUUAUUCACAAAAUACAUUGCGACCUCGAUGUUGGAUUAAGAA
This 411-nucleotide ribosomal RNA is filed under the name Bemisia tabaci. RNAcentral's name for it is "partial 16S ribosomal RNA". The record is from RNAcentral. Lineage: Eukaryota; Metazoa; Arthropoda; Insecta; Hemiptera; Aleyrodidae.